RNAcentral lists this transfer RNA (65 nucleotides) under Pedetontus silvestrii. Its description in RNAcentral is "tRNA-Ser". Lineage: Eukaryota; Metazoa; Arthropoda; Insecta; Archaeognatha; Machilidae. The record is from RNAcentral.
UUACUUAACUAUUCACAAGUGUAUGUCUUGAAAACAUAAAAUAGCAAUUAAUUUAAGCUAGUAAU